CUAAUGAAUAAAAAAUCAUCUUUUAAAUGUAAAUAAAUGACGUGUCAUGAGUAAUCUCUACAUAUAUCGUGCAAGAGAAAUGCUAGCAAUAUUGUUCUAUCAACUAAGCUAAGAUCGAGACAGAGCCCUAAAACCCUAGAAACCCUAAUCUGUAUGUCCUUCACUUUAGUCUCCAUUGUUCUUCAUUUCUUUGCUUUAACAGCAAUGGUGGAAGGUGCUUUCCUCUCUGCAACGGUUGAAUCCUUGUUGCAUAAGCUUGCUUCAUCAGAAUUCACUGAUUACAUCAAAUACAGUGAGUUGAAUAUCUUGAAACUCACAGUGUUUGUAACAACUCUGCUCACUCUUCGCUCAGUUCUUCACGAUGCUGAACAGAAGCAGUUCUUCAAUCCCAAAAUCAAACAAUGGAUGAAUGAGCUGUACAAUGCAAUCGUUGUUUCCGAAGAUUUGCUUGACGAAAUUGGCUAUGAUUCUCUUCGAUGCAAGGUCGAGAAUACACCGCCUAAAUCAAAUUUUAUAUUUGAUUUCCAAAUGAAGAUUGUUUGUCAAAGGCUUCAACGUUUUGUUCGUCCGAUAGAUGCUCUUGGUUUGCGACCAGUAAGUGGUUCGGUUUCUGGUAGUAAUACUCCUUUAGUGAUUAAUGAAUUUGUUAUAAUUGGUAGGGAGGAUGAUAAGGAGAGAUUGAUGAGUAUGUUGGUGUCAGGAAAUGACAAUGACAUUGACACAAGCGGUAAUAACAAUAACAACAAAUUAGGCGUGAUUGCAAUUUUAGGUGAUGGAGGUGUUGGUAAAUCGACACUUGCUCGACUUGUUUACAAUGAUAAGAAAGUUGAUGAGCAUUUUGAUUUGAAAGUCUGGGUUUGUGUCACCGAGGAUUUUGAUAUUUCUAGAAUCACAAAAGCUCUACUUGAAUCUGUCAGCUCAACAAUAGCUUAUGUAGGAAAUGAUUUGGAUGAUGUUCGAGUUCGUUUAAAGGGGGGUUUGAUGCGUAAAAGAUUUUUGUUUGUGUUGGAUGGCUUAUGGAAUGAUAGUUAUAAUGACUGGCAUGAUCUAAUUGCUCCAUUGGUUAAUGGAAAUUGUGGAAGUAGGGUGAUCAUCACAACACGCUACGAAAGAGUUGCAGAGGUUGCACAUACGUAUCCUAUUCAUAAAUUGGAACCUCUAUCGGACGAACAUUGUUGGUCUUUACUCUCCAAGUAUGCAUUUGGAAGUGGUGACAUUAAAUACCCAACCUUAGAAGCAAUUGGGAAGAAGAUUGCAAAAAAGUGUGGUGGAUUGCCAAUAGCUGCCAAAACGCUAGGAGGGCUUUUGAGCUCAAAGUUAAAUGCAAAGGAGUGGACCGAAAUCUUGAACAGCAACAUAUGGAACAUACCAAAUAAUAACAUUCUGCCUGCUUUGCUUUUGAGUUAUCUAUACCUUCCCUCUCAUUUGAAAAGAUGUUUCGUCUAUUGCUCAAUUUUUCCCAAGGGUUAUCCCCUUGAAAAAAAGCAUUUGGUUUUGUUGUGGAUGGCAGAAGGCUUCCUUGAACAUUCUAUGGUUGGAAAAGUUGAAGAGGAGGUAGGUGAUGACUUCUUUAUGGAAUUGUUUUCGAGAUCCUUAAUUGAAAAAUUCAAGGAUGAUGCUGAUAGAGAAGUAUUUGUCUUGCACGACCUUGUCUAUGAUCUAGCAACAAUUGUAUCCGGGAAAAAUUGUUGCAAGUUUGAAUUUGGUGGUAGAAUCUCUAAAGAUGUUCACCAUUUUUCAUACAAUCAAGAGGAGUAUGACAUUUUCAAGAAGUUUGAGACUUUCUAUGAUUUCAAAAGCUUGCGAAGUUUCCUACCCAUUGGUCCUUGGUGGCAAGAAUCUUACUUAUCUCGCAAGGUGGUUGAUUUUAUCCUCCCGUCAGUUAGAAGGUUGCGUGUGCUAUCCUUAUCAAAUUAUAAAAACAUCACUAUGCUGCCAGAUUCAAUUGGUAAUUUGGUGCAGCUGCGGUAUCUGAAUCUCUCUCAGACUGGAAUCAAAUGUUUACCUGCAACAAUAUGUAACCUUUACUAUUUGCAAACCUUGAUUUUAUGCUGGUGUGUGGAUCUCAUUGAAUUAUCGAUACAUAUUGGAAAGUUAAUUAAUUUACGUCACCUUGAUAUCAGCAAUGGAAACAUAAAGGAGAUGCCGAAGCAAAUUGUUGGACUAGAAAACCUUCAAACUUUAACGGUUUUUGUAGUGGGCAAGCAAGAAGUUGGGUUAAGAGUAAGAGAGCUUGUGAAGUUUCCUAACCUACGGGGAAAACUAUGCAUCAAGAACUUGCAUAAUGUCAAUGAAGCGUGUGAUGCCAACUUGAAAACCAAAGAACACCUUGAGGAGUUAGAGUUAUAUUGGGACAAACAGUUUAAAGGUUCAAUAGCAGACAAAGCAGUUCUUGAUGUGUUGCAACCAUCUAUGAACCUCAAGAAAUUGAGCAUUUACUUCUAUGGUGGGACGAGUUUUCCACGUUGGUUGGGAGAUUGUUCAUUUUCUAACAUGGUGUACCUUUGCCUCAGUUCUUGUGUGUAUUGUGUAACACUUCCUCCACUAGGACAACUAACUUCUCUCAAAGACCUACAAAUCAAAGAUAUGACUAGAGUGGAAACAAUUGGUGCAGAGUUCUAUGGCAUGACAAGUGGAGGUACUAAUUUUCCAUUCCAACCAUUUCCUGCCCUAGAGAAGCUUGAAUUUGAGAGGAUGCCUAAUUGGAAGCAAUGGCUUUCGUUUCGAGACAAUGCAUUUCCCUUUCCCCGUCUUAAAACUCUGUGUUUAAGUCACUGUACAGAACUGAAGGGACAUUUGCCUAGCCAUCUUCCUUCCAUAGAGGAAAUUGCUAUAAUUACGUGUGAUUGUUUGCUGGCUACACCAUCUACUCCACAUUCGCUCUCAUCAGUAAAAUCUCUAGAUUUGCAAUCUGCAGGGUCACUUGAAUUGUCGUUGCUCUGGAGUGACUCUCCAUGUCUUAUGCAGGAUGCAAAAUUCUAUGGCUUUAAAACGUUGCCGUCUCUACCUAAAAUGUUACUGAGCUCCACUUGUCUUCAACACUUAGAUCUCACAUAUAUUGAUUCUCUCGCUGCAUUUCCAGCUGACUGUCUGCCCACUUCAUUGCAGUCGCUUUGUAUUCAUGGUUGUGGGGAUUUAGAAUUCAUGCCUCUUGAAAUGUGGAGCAAGUACACAUCACUUGUGAAAUUAGAGUUAGGAGAUUGUUGUGAUGUACUUACCUCCUUCCCACUGAAUGGUUUCCCCGUGCUUCGAAGUCUUACCAUUGAAGGUUGUAUGAACCUGGAAUCCAUUUUUAUUUUAGAUAGUGCCUCCCUUGCUCCAUCAACUCUUCAAUCACUGCAGGUCAGUCACUGUCAUGCACUUAGAUCAUUGCCUCGACGGAUGGACACCCUCAUUGCUCUUGAAAGUUUGACUCUCACCAGUUUACCGUCCUGUUGUGAAGUAGCUUGUCUCCCUCCGCAUUUACAGUUUAUUCAUAUUGAAUCCCUAAGAAUAACUCCACCUUUGACUGAUUCGGGCCUCCAAAACCUUAUGGCUCUGUCUGAUCUGCAUAUUGAGGGCGAUGAUAACGUUAACACCUUGUUGAAGGAGAAGUUGCUUCCCAUUUUCCUCGUGUCUCUGACAAUAAGUAAUCUCUCUGAAAUGAAAUCCUUUGAAGGAAAUGAACUUCAACUCAUCUCCUCUAUGAAAAAUCUUAAAAUUCAGUGUUGUUCAAGGCUUGAGUCUUUUGCAGAAGACACAUUGCCUUCUUUUCUGAAAUCACUUGUAGUUGAAGAUUGUCCAGAACUCAAGUCAUUGCCAUUCAGGCUGCCUUCCUCUUUGGAAACACUGAAAUUUGACAUGUGCCCAAAACUUAGGUUAUUCCGACAAUACAAUCUCCCUUCAUCUCUUAAGCUAUUGAGCAUUAGGCAUUGCCCUAUGUUAAAAGCAUGGUAUGAAACUCAGAGAAGGGUAUAUGUGUCCAAGAUUCCACACUUCCCUGUCGUAAAAAUAGACCAUGAAGUUACACUAUGAGCCUUGGGAAAGGGAAGGAAUAGUUGCACUCCAAUUUCAGAGAGCAGCUGAUAAAGCCACCCCUCAUAAAGUGAGGGGUCACUACCAUCAUCCUUUAGAUGCAAUACAGAAAUAAAUGCAUGCAAAGUAAAUCUUUUACUCUUAUAUGAAUGAGCGUGCUUCGGUAGAUCAGGCAUACAUGGAUAUCUGCAGGAAGAACUAUUCAAGAAAAAGAAAUGUGUAUGCCAAAUUGCUAUGCAAGGAUCAUGAGUGUGGGUCAUGAAUGACGAGAGCUGGAUCGUUCUCAUUGCCAAGACUAACGUAUCUGCUGGCGAUGAGCUAACGUAUAUUCCCUAUCCAUUCUUGCAUCUUGUGAUGUAUGCUUUCAUUUGUCGUUUCAGCAUGCAUUUGAGUGAAUCGUCAUUUUAGUCCCUAUGAAUUUGUCAAGAAGGAAUGGCCUAAUAUCAGGGAUCAUAUUAGAUUUCAUGAAUUUCAAUGAACAAAUGGCCUAAUUAUUUGUUACAACUUGAAAGACUAAAUUGAUGAUUUACUCGCUUUUGUUUCAUCAAAUUCUUUUUUCGCAAGAAAAUAUCAAAUUACUUUGUAACUAUGUUUAUAGUAACUGGCAGGUAUGACUACUUGUUUGAUCCUAAUGAGCCAGAUGAAUUUAAAGUUCUUUGUUUGUGUAAAGCUCCAAACUGCAGAAAAUUCAUGAAUUAGGAUUAUUCAGAUCAUGAUGACAAGUAUUGUUUCUCCAUAAGGAGCACUAACCGGUUGCAGCAUCAAUGGGAACCUCACAGUUAUACACAAGCUGUAAUUUUAAUUUUAAUCAAAGAAUAAGAA
Medicago truncatula (barrel medic) is the source of this 4836-nucleotide RNA transcript. It is a transcript of the gene named putative disease resistance RPP13-like protein 1, with no coding region annotated. The record is from RefSeq and is a predicted model, not a curated record. The transcript has 3 exons. Lineage: Eukaryota; Viridiplantae; Streptophyta; Magnoliopsida; Fabales; Fabaceae.